RNAcentral lists this ribosomal RNA (515 nucleotides) under uncultured bacterium. RNAcentral's name for it is "partial 16S ribosomal RNA". It matches the Rfam family "Bacterial small subunit ribosomal RNA", at positions 28 to 523 of the family's 1533-position model. The record is from RNAcentral.
GAUGAACGCUGGCGGCGUGCCUAAUACAUGCAAGUCGAGCGAAUGGAUUAAGAGCUUGCUCUUAUGAAGUUAGCGGCGGACGGGUGAGUAACACGUGGGUAACCUGCCCAUAAGACUGGGAUAACUCCGGGAAACCGGGGCUAAUACCGGAUAACAUUUUGAACCGCAUGGUUCGAAAUUGAAAGGCGGCUUCGGCUGUCACUUAUGGAUGGACCCGCGUCGCAUUAGCUAGUUGGUGAGGUAACGGCUCACCAAGGCAACGAUGCGUAGCCGACCUGGGAGGGUGAUCGGCCACACGGGGACUGAGACACGGCCCAGACUCCUACGGGAGGCAGCAGUAGGGAAUCUUCCGCAAUGGACGAAAGUCUGGCGGAGCAACGCCGCGUGAGUGAUGAAGGCUUUCGGGUCGUAAAACUCUGUUGUUAGGGAAGAACAAGUGCUAGUUGAGUAAGCUGGCACCUUGACGGUACCUAACCAGAAAGCCACGGCUAACUACGUGCCAGCCGCCGCAGUAA